UGGUAUCAGAGCAACGACCGACCUAGGAGCCCCCUUGAUUGAUCGAACAUGGCCGAGUCGAGUCUAGUGAAAAACUAUUUGAGUCUUAGUUAUAUAUCGGAGAGUAGGAUUCUUUUUUCUCCUCUUCUAUGAUCUGGUGAGGAAUCUUGACGUAAUAAUUUAUUCUACUCCUCUUCUCACUCAAAAGUUUUUUAGGAUCACGCGGAUAUUUUUGGAAUAUAUAUGAUGCCGAUGUGACGGAGUUCUGUCUUGGUGCCUCCUGUCUGACUUGAUUUUCUUCCGGGGAGUUGAGCUCCAGGGGAUUCUUGAGAACAUCGUUAUCAUUCAGAUUUCUUAGUAUCUCAGUACGAAGGAUGUUCGUAAUUGCUUCAAUACUAGUAGUGGCGAGAUAACCCGGAUGUCCCCAGUACUGGUGCAGAUUGUUCGGGAGUACUGCCAUACUUUGUAUCGUUGUGAUCACGAGGGUCUGUUGUAGAUGAAGGUCCGAGAUUCUGGUUGUGUGUUGACAGAUGUGAUACAAGUGACGGGUUAGUAUAGGAGUUGUGUGAUAUUACUCCUUGUAUCCGUGUACCAGAUUGCAUGACCAGAUAUUUCGGGAAUUCAUAGGUGGGAAUUCUAGUAGUUGCUUAUAGGACAAUCUUCCAACAAAUGCAUGAUGUUAGGUUGGGGUUCGACAUCUAGUGGAUUCCUUUGUUCACGGUCGACUUACAGCGGUAUACGUUGUGUCUUAAAGAGUCCUUGUAGCUUGCUACGACUCGGGGACGCUUCGUAUGUCAGGUGCACUGCCUUGCACUUGGUGGCUACUGUAAAUCAUGCCCGUGCGAUCCUGUCCACGAAAAUAUCGAACGGAAAUCUUUCUCAUGAGUUUGUUCGGUCUUGUUUCAUAAGCCUCAUCCUUUGUUUUGUUGGAUAUGGUAAUUCAGUUGCUUCGAUGUCAAGUGGUGAUUUUAGAUCUUUCCUAAGAGGUGUUCUCAUAUUUUUAUGUGAGAAUGCAAAUCCUUUUGCUUAAUCAGUUGUCUUAUCAAUUCCUUUCAACCGGAGUCAUCGUAUCAAGUC
Molecule: long non-coding RNA, 1056 nt
Filed under: Hordeum vulgare
Lineage: Eukaryota; Viridiplantae; Streptophyta; Magnoliopsida; Poales; Poaceae
Description: long non-coding RNA (HVUL_LNC016317)
Source: RNAcentral